RNAcentral lists this long non-coding RNA (692 nucleotides) under Sinocyclocheilus anshuiensis. RNAcentral's name for it is "lncRNA (ENSSANG00000030587.1)". Lineage: Eukaryota; Metazoa; Chordata; Actinopteri; Cypriniformes; Cyprinidae. The record is from RNAcentral.
GUGCUUUAUGGGUUACACUGCUCCCUGUAGAAUAUUGCCAAAGCAUUUCAAUAAAAAGCAGUUUUAGCAUACAUUUCCCUCGUGUCGCUAUAGGGUUAAAACAAUAAAAUCAAGACAAUAAAGCAGCAUUUCCGUUUCAAGAUGCACCAGCUCGUGAGCUGAUUCAUCCACUCAGAGGAACCGAAGCUCAGAUGGGGAACUGACAGCACAGGAGGAGGACUUCCACGAACACAUCCACUCCUCAAGGAACGCCGAUUACAUUUUCUGUCGGGAAUAUAAACAGCAACAGGAGUUACAUUGUUGCGAGUUGCCGGGAAUUAUUUGUUACUUUGAAACGCGUCGCUUACUUGCUGUGAAAGUGAAUGGAUACAAAGUUUUUUUUUUCCUAGCAAGUUUUUAGCCGCCUGGCUAACCAGCCGUAAGAUAUGAAGACUUCGGGUCCACAACAGAUUUACAGACUCAGUAUUUACUCUUAGUGAACUCUUACGAGAACUUUUAUUUAUAUUUAUUUCAGCGGAGUCCAAAAUAUGUGUUGUGAAACAGCGAGCAAGUUUGCGUAAAGACAUGUCCCCUCAUGCACAAGUACCUGGGGUGGGUGGAUCACCUGUUCAAGGUAAUAUUAUAGUUUAUUUAUGUCUUGAUUGUCUACCAUUUAAGGGCUGGGGUAAUACUAGUGUCUGGUUGAUGUUGGC